This 446-nucleotide ribosomal RNA is filed under the name Arctic sea ice bacterium AWS-6B1. RNAcentral describes it as "bacterial SSU rRNA". It matches the Rfam family "Bacterial small subunit ribosomal RNA", at positions 396 to 834 of the family's 1533-position model. The record is from RNAcentral. Lineage: Bacteria; Pseudomonadati; Pseudomonadota; Gammaproteobacteria.
GCCGCGUGUGUGAAGAAGGCCUUCGGGUUGUAAAGCACUUUCAGUUGUGAGGAAAGCUUGAUGGUUAAUACCCAUCAGGUAUGACGUUAGCAACAGAAGAAGGACCGGCUAACUCCGUGCCAGCAGCCGCGGUAAUACGGAGGGUCCGAGCGUUAAUCGGAAUUACUGGGCGUAAAGCGCACGCAGGCGGUUUGUUAAGCUAGAUGUGAAAGCCCCGGGCUCAACCUGGGAAUAGCAUUUAGAACUGGCAGACUAGAGUCUUGGAGAGGGGAGUGGAAUUUCUGGUGUAGCGGUGAAAUGCGUAGAUAUCAGAAGGAACAUCAGUGGCGAAGGCGACUCCCUGGCCAAAGACUGACGCUCAUGUGCGAAAGUGUGGGUAGCGAACAGGAUUAGAUACCCUGGUAGUCCACACCGUAAACGCUGUCUACUAGCUGUUUGUGGAUUUA